Long non-coding RNA from Rosa chinensis, 749 nucleotides. RefSeq lists it as uncharacterized. The transcript is spliced from 2 exons. The record is from RefSeq and is a predicted model, not a curated record. NCBI's taxonomy places the organism in Eukaryota, Viridiplantae, Streptophyta, Magnoliopsida, Rosales, Rosaceae.
UCAUUAAACAAGGAAGAUCUAGUCUUCCUUCAAAUCCAUCCUCCCAUAUAUGUUCUUCAAUUGCACAAUAGAAGAGACCCAAAAUCCUCUAUUGAAUUUUGUCCUCCUCGCUCUUUCUUGCUCCCCCAACAUGUCAUCACUUCCUGAGUUCCUGAUAACCUUUUCUCCGUGUGUGUGUGUGUGUGCAAGGGGUAAGCAGGGAGGUUUUGGGCAGGCAAAGGUGGGAUGGGCAGAUAGCGGGAAUUGAACCUGCAUCUUCUCCUUGGCAAAGAGAAAUUUUACCAUUCGACCAUACUGUAGUAUUGUUCUUGUGGAACUUGAGGAAUCAUAGACACAUGCUGCUCUGGCUGUUGGAUCAUCUGACUCACAAGAAUAUUCUCAGAAUGUGAAUCUGCAUUGACAGUCUUAAGUCAUGACCUUGGAAUUCUCUCGGCUUCCAACUAAACCGAGAGCAUGGUGGAUGGGUGAAGUUAUGAUGACACUGCUGUUGUUUGACGAGGGCUGCAAUCUAUUCAAUUUAUUCCUCUUGAUCUGUGACUGGAGAGCACAUGCUGGGAAGAUUUAGUUUCUUCCUCUUGCAUGAAAUCGAUUUACAAUAUAACAUUAAUUCAAGUAUGCGUAGCCCAUUUCAGUUUUUUUUUUUUGGGUGAUCUCAAUCCAAUACCUUAUAUUGUGUAUCAGACUGACUACUCUGAGGCUAUCCUUGUUAAAAAUGUAAUUAAAACAUUUAUCCCCAUUUAUUACUGAAA